UUAUUUAAUGAGUGUUAGUUCAAGAUUUUCAAUUUAUUCAUAAAUUCUUGCAAAUUAAUGAUUGUAUCAAUUUUGGCUCAAUAUUUCAACGUUUUCCAUUUUUUACUUCUCAGUUUUAUCCAACGGUUCUUUCAAGGGUUUCUUACGUUUAUUUAAAAAUGAUGGGCCUGUAGCACUAUAUCGGAUGGAUUUAAUGGAUGAUCAAAUUUAGGUCGUGUUUGUUGUUUGAUUUUCAAGUCCAUCUAUUAUAUAUUGUCGACUGCCUGGUUUUUUACUCGAUACCAACAGUAAUGAUGAGUUAUUGUCCUGCAUUGUUUAUUAAAUAUUGGUAUUAAAUACUUGCGUGGUUACCUUCAUCAAGAUUGAUAACAAAGUAUGCUUUCUAUGGUUCACAUGAAGUUUAUUCACAAAAGAUCUUCUCGUGCAGGAUAAUUGAAGUCUUUAAAGAGAGUAAACUUUUGCCAUUUCAGGAAGAGAAACUAUCUUGUUUGGAUAAGAUGAAUAAGAAAUUUGUAAUUCAAUACCAAGAAAAACAAGUAAAAAUACUCGUCACAGGGUUAUCCUAACACUCUGAGGAUCAAUAUGUUGAUAAAAGCGAAGAAGCUGUUGCUUUGUUUGGUCAUUAUUUUGUCCAGCACAAAGUUAUAUCCAACUGGUUAUGGUUACUUAAGCAUGAUUCCAAAUAAUCAACUCAUCAAUUGAGUCUCAAAGUAGCCACCAUGAUGAACCCAUUUGAAUUAACCAUCAACAUCUCAAGUGGGAGUGAAGUGAAAGGCCCAACCAAUUGAUAAAAAUCAAAAGAAACAUUGAUAAAGAUGAGAUGAAAAGAGCCAGGAUAAAAAUGUGAAAGAAAAGAUGGAAAAGAUGACCAAGUCUACCAAGAAGAUGAUAAAACCUGUGCGAGUACAGAGCGUCUAAAAAAUGACCAACUAAUGUUAGCUUUAGAGUGAUUAAACUAAUACUUCAUUGAGUUGAUGUGAAAUAUAAUAUUCAAGUGCUUCACCCUUGAAGGUCAUCUCAGAAGGAAUUGAAUUUUUAAUGAGGGUUAGGCGACUACACCUUAUUCUGAUAAUUCUUUAGAGUGGAUUCUUUAUAAUAAAUAAACAAUUCAUCAUAUUAUUUGUCAUUUAUUAAAGUUAACACUGGUUGGUUAUUUUCGAGACGAUCUGUAAUAUUCUAAAUGGUAGAAGCAAUUGAGACCAAUUAGGUGAAUCAAGUGAGAACAGCAAUUACCGUGAUAAUACAAUUCACGUUCCCUUUCAACCAAUACGUGAUCAACAGCAUUCCAUAUUAAACAAUUAUUUCCUCCAUUUUUUUCUCCUCAUCAUCACAUUAAUAUUUAUAAAGACUAGACGAUGUAACACCAGAUAUAUCAUCAUCAAAAAAUAACCUACAGAAAGUGAAUAGAUUUAAAGAUUGUUCAAAAGGCAACAUUGACAAUUUACAUAGACGACAAGAAAACUUGUAAAAUGGACUAAUGAUAUUGAUGGUAAAACUUUUUUUGUCUCAAUAAUAAUUGUGAUAAUAUCAAUAAUGAGACAACCUGGAAUUGAUGAGCUUCAAUAAUGUCACCAUUGUCCAUUACAAUAUUCACAGUGAAUUUAUUAUUCAUAUCACGCUUCAUUCAACUCUAUUCAUCGUUUACUUUCACCAUUCCUUCAACUCUUCUCAAUUCUCUCUUAUCUUCUGUUAUCAUUAUGUCUUCAAUGCCAUUCAAUAUAAUGGCAACAUUAUUCAGUUGAUAGAUAUAUCAUAAUAAUGAUCAUAAUGAUACCUUGUUUUUAUCUUUGAACAAAAAAAGUUCAAUGGAUAUCGAUUGGAAGCUGUGCAAUAAAUUUAAUUAAUAAAUAAUAACCCAAAAUGUGAGUUAAAUAUGGAAAAAAUGGCGAAAAGAAAAAGCAAUUCAACUGGAAAAGGAAUUGGUCUAUUAUCAAUUUAACUUUGACCUUUACAUUAAUCGAUUGGCAUUUCUUUCAAACAUGGUAUCAAGUUGUGCCAAAGCUCAGUCAAACUCAUGAAUGAUCAAGAACUGAAGCACAAACGGAACGUUGAAAUGUUUCCAAAGCGAUACAAGAAAGAAAAAUGAUGAUUCCAUUUACCAACAUGACAAAUGUGGCAUUUCUUGAUGAAUGGAGUUGACAAUCUUUUCAGCUUCUGUCCAUAUUCAACCAUAAAGAAGAGGAAAAAAAGGCAAAUCAAGCUAAUCAAAAUUUCCAUGUAUCAACAGAUUAAAUGAUAUUAACCAGGAAUAAUAUCCAAAGUGUCAAAACAAUCUUUUCUUCAUUGAACACAACAUGAAAGAUUUUAGAUGGCAAAGAUUCUGAUAUUAUUGGUUCUCAGCAAAAUUCAAAAAUGGCAGUGACAAAGAAACAAGAGCAAGACCAAAGGAGAAAAACCUUUCAAUACUUUACAUCAAUUAAUAUUCAUAUCUAUUUCAUAAUUAAUAUUGCUGGAUGGAUGUAUGGCGAAAGAAUAUAUCUUUGGACAAAAGAAAAAUUGGUAAUAAUUAAUAACAAUCAGUUUUGUUGAAUUAAUCAUUACCUUUGGUGCAAACAUACUCUCAAUGCAAGGUUGACUGGAUGACCAUUGAUAAAGUCAAUUGGAUUGACGAUUGAAACUGGUAUUUAAUGGAUAACCACUCGAUGUACCAUUAUGUUGAUUGGAUCGACUAAAUGUAAAUUGAAUAAUGGUUUACAAUGAGGAGACACAAUUUAGCCGAAUGAUCAAAAUGAAUAAAUGACAAGUUGAAUGUUUAACUUGGAAAGCAUUUUUAUCAAGCAAAUAUCUCAACAUGAGGCUUACAAGCAAAGACUAUUUUAAUACAUGAUCAACGUCAUGACCGUAAAUACACAUUUCUGUACCAUCCUCAAGUCUCUUCAUCUUUAUCAUCAUUGUCCAUCUUCAUUAAGUCCAUUGUUAUGGAUAGUCAAGAAGCAAAUUUUGUUUCUCUUUUUUGCCUUCACUUUAACCUUAUCAAACUUAUUUUUGGUACCUUUUUAUAUCUUAUAAAUAUAAUAUUAUAAUAUUUUCAAUGGUCAGUGAAUGAAACAAAAAGGAAACUCAAAUAUUCUUUGACUUGAGAGUCAAAAAUACUUGAUAGCUUUUAGCAUUGCUCAUGGCAUUUGGUGGUCAACUAAGUAACGUCCAAAUGAAAACUUUGAAUGAUGAUGAGUUGAAGAUGAAAAUGUAGAAAUUAUUGAAGUAAAUGGAAAAAGAAGAAAAAAAUGAAAGGAAAAUGACAAUUUCUCCUCGAACCAUUUUCCUCAUUUUUACCCACUUUUCAACUUUCGAUUACUUGAAGCUGAAAUUUUCAAACCUCAACACUCGAUUUACUUCAAAAUUAUCAUCUAAUCAUAAAGAAAUUUCAUGUUAACAAAAUUUCUUGCUUGUUGGUUCAUUAAUGAGCUGCCAACAAUGUCACCAUUUUGAUUAUUAUUGACAAUAAACUGAUAAACUCAGAAAGUUUAUUAGAAAUGCAUUAUUUCUUCUCAUCAAAAUCAACAAUUUAUAUUUCCUUUUCCAGGAAGUAGUGAUGAAAAGAAUCAACUUUAUUCUGUUUUCCGUUUCAAUUCUAAAUAUUAAUGUUAAC
This is a long non-coding RNA of Tetranychus urticae (two-spotted spider mite), 3589 nucleotides long. RefSeq lists it as uncharacterized. The record is from RefSeq and is a predicted model, not a curated record. NCBI's taxonomy places the organism in Eukaryota, Metazoa, Arthropoda, Arachnida, Trombidiformes, Tetranychidae.